Stegastes partitus (bicolor damselfish) is the source of this 1474-nucleotide long non-coding RNA. RefSeq lists it as uncharacterized. NCBI's taxonomy places the organism in Eukaryota, Metazoa, Chordata, Actinopteri, Pomacentridae. The transcript has 2 exons. The record is from RefSeq and is a predicted model, not a curated record.
UUCAUAACUGAUUGAGCCGGUAUGACAAGUUGUACCACCAAAAUAAGAAUAUUGUAGAUCAUCUAAACAGAAGUUCUGAAUCUAUGACAUUAUGACAAAAUGCAGUAAAAAAAUUCUGUCUUUUUAUCUUUAGUCGUUCCUGAGAUGCUGUGGUUCAAGCAGCCUUAAAUUUCAACGUGUGAAAAAACAAGCUGAAAGUGGGUCGACGGACUAUUUUUAAAAAGGCGUUAUUGCAAUAAGAUAUAUGAAGCUGAAAUUUCACAAAUAUAUCUAACAAUAUUGUCUGCUCUCAAGUUUUGAGGCAAAAUCAAGAGAUUUUUGAGCAGACAUUGUUCUUAAAAUGUGAAACCUGAACAGUUGAGGAUGUUGCAGCAGCAGAUUUCGAUGCAGCCUUUGGAAGUCCACAUACUUUUGGCCACGUAGUGUAAUUUAAACCUCAGUUAAAAACGGUUUAUGUUGUGAAUUAUUGGUGGUUUGUCGGAGCCUUGGGGGGACUAGUUUGUUGGUGUUCCUCAUCGUUUUGUAAUGUGACUGCUUUCACUUUAACAAACUCUAAUGUCAGUGCUGUUAAGGAUGAAAACGAGCAUUUACACCAGAGCGACGCCGCCCUUCGUUUUACUGUGUACGCUGUAAACCGGUGUAGGUUUAUACGCUGUUGCUCCACAUUUAUUGAUCACAUUUAUUGAUAUCUUACGGAUGGAUUUCUCAGAUUUCUCUUGGUUCAGUAUUCAACCAUCAGCAGAGAUUUAAGUGAUCCAUCAGCAGACGCUACAUACUGUUUAUUAGAUUCAAAGUGUUCUAGAUUAGAGCUGUAGAGUAUUAUUUAUUAGAGGUAGAAACUGGAACCCAUAAUAGGUUUACUAUGAUAUUAAUUAUUCCUGGAAGGAGAAGGCAAGCCAUUAAAGCGGGUACCACGUGUACAGUGUUACUGCUGCUGGAUUUGUAUGACAUGUGGGAUUAUUUAUUGUUGUUUAAGCCAUAAAAUAUUUAUUUUCUGCUUCACACCCAAGAUUUCAGCUCAGCUUUACGCCGCAAGCCACGAAAACAGACAAAAUCCGGCCUUCUUUGUUUGUUUUGUGUUUGUUUUCAGUGUUUUAUUUGGAAUAAACGGGACAGCUGACAGAAAAACCAUCGCUGCAUUGCACAUUUUACUGGUUUGUUAAAAAAACAGCAACAACUGAAGCCACAGCAUAAACACACACACAGACAACAGUUAAUGAUCCAAACCUCAGACAGUAAAUUCAGGAACACACAGACAAUAAAAACUGAUUUAUUGGUGCAACAACUCACAUUUAUUUCUGUUUCAGCAUCACAAGGCCGCCGCCGAUUGACUCUCUGGAGGUUUUAAUCAUUUCAACUCUCGCUCAGAUCAUUUAAAAAAAAUAUUGUACCCAAAUGUAAUUAAUGGGAAUCCUCGUUAGCCUUCUGUGUGUGUGUCAUGGAAAAGUUUUUAUAAACAUCCUUUUCUAAGAAA